Molecule: ribosomal RNA, 469 nt
Filed under: uncultured bacterium
Lineage: Bacteria
Description: SSU rRNA
Rfam family: Bacterial small subunit ribosomal RNA
Source: RNAcentral
AGGACGAACGCUGGCGGCGUGCUUAACACAUGCAAGUCGAACGGUAAGGCCCUUCGGGGUACACGAGUGGCGAACGGGUGAGUAACACGUGGGUGAUCUGCCCUGCACUUCGGGAUAAGCUUGGGAAACUGGGUCUAAUACCGGAUAUGACUACGAAUCGCAUGGUUUGUGGUGGAAAGCUUUUGCGGUGUGGGAUGGGCCCGCGGCCUAUCAGCUUGUUGGUGGGGUGAUGGCCUACCAAGGCGACGACGGGUAGCCGGCCUGAGAGGGUGUCCGGCCACACUGGGACUGAGAUACGGCCCAGACUCCUACGGGAGGCAGCAGUGGGGAAUAUUGGACAAUGGGCGAAAGCCUGAUCCAGCAAUGCCGCGUGAGUGAUGAAGGCCUUAGGGUCGUAAAGCUCUUUUACCCGGGAUGAUAAUGACAGUACCGGGAGAAUAAGCCCGGCUAACUCCGCGCCAGCAGCCGC